RNAcentral lists this ribosomal RNA (446 nucleotides) under Streptococcus mitis. RNAcentral's name for it is "bacterial SSU rRNA". It matches the Rfam family "Bacterial small subunit ribosomal RNA", at positions 28 to 462 of the family's 1533-position model. The record is from RNAcentral. Lineage: Bacteria; Bacillati; Bacillota; Bacilli; Lactobacillales; Streptococcaceae.
GACGAACGCGGCGGCGUGCCUAAUACAUGCAAGUAGAACGCUGAAGGAGGAGCUUGCUUCUCUGGAUGAGUUGCGAACGGGUGAGUAACGCGUAGGUAACCUGCCUGGUAGCGGGGGAUAACUAUUGGAAACGAUAGCUAAUACCGCAUAAGAGUAGAUGUUGCAUGACAUUUGCUUAAAAGGUGCAAAUGCAUCACUACCAGAUGGACCUGCGUUGUAUUAGCUAGUUGGUGAGGUAACGGCUCACCAAGGCAACGAUACAUAGCCGACCUGAGAGGGUGAUCGGCCACACUGGGACUGAGACACGGCCCAGACUCCUACGGGAGGCAGCAGUAGGGAAUCUUCGGCAAUGGACGGAAGUCUGACCGAGCAACGCCGCGUGAGUGAAAGAAAGGUUUUUCGGGAUCGUAAAAGCUUCUGUUGUAAAGAGAAAGAAACGAAGUGUG